This 904-nucleotide ribosomal RNA is filed under the name Streptosporangium sp. XFoRh77. RNAcentral's name for it is "bacterial SSU rRNA". It matches the Rfam family "Bacterial small subunit ribosomal RNA", at positions 45 to 965 of the family's 1533-position model. The record is from RNAcentral. Lineage: Bacteria; Bacillati; Actinomycetota; Actinomycetes; Streptosporangiales; Streptosporangiaceae.
GGUCUUACCAUGCAGUCGAGCGGAAGGCCCUUCGGGGUACUCGAGCGGCGAACGGGUGAGUAACACGUGAGUAACCUGCCCCUGACUCUGGGAUAAGCCCGGGAAACUGGGUCUAAUACCGGAUACGACACCUCCUGGCAUCGGGUGGGUGUGGAAAGUUUUUUCGGUUGGGGAUGGACUCGCGGCCUAUCAGCUUGUUGGUGGGGUAACGGCCUACCAAGGCGACGACGGGUAGCCGGCCUGAGAGGGCGACCGGCCACACUGGGACUGAGACACGGCCCAGACUCCUACGGGAGGCAGCAGUGGGGAAUAUUGCGCAAUGGGCGAAAGCCUGACGCAGCGACGCCGCGUGGGGGAUGACGGCCUUCGGGUUGUAAACCUCUUUCAGCAGGGACGAAGUUGACGUGUACCUGCAGAAGAAGCGCCGGCUAACUACGUGCCAGCAGCCGCGGUAAUACGUAGGGCGCAAGCGUUGUCCGGAAUUAUUGGGCGUAAAGAGCUCGUAGGUGGCUUGUCACGUCGGGUGUGAAAGCUUGGGGCUUAACUCCAGGUCUGCAUUCGAUACGGGCUGGCUAGAGGUAGGUAGGGGAGAACGGAAUUCCUGGUGUAGCGGUGAAAUGCGCAGAUAUCAGGAGGAACACCGGUGGCGAAGGCGGUUCUCUGGGCCUUACCUGACGCUGAGGAGCGAAAGCGUGGGGAGCGAACAGGAUUAGAUACCCUGGUAGUCCACGCUGUAAACGUUGGGCGCUAGGUGUGGGGACCUUCCACGGUUUCCGCGCCGUAGCUAACGCAUUAAGCGCCCCGCCUGGGGAGUACGGCCGCAAGGCUAAAACUCAAAAGGAAUUGACGGGGGGCCCGCACCAAGCCGGCGGGAGCCAUGUUGCUUAAUUCGACACAACGCAAU